Molecule: long non-coding RNA, 1559 nt
Organism: Gossypium raimondii (Peruvian cotton)
Lineage: Eukaryota; Viridiplantae; Streptophyta; Magnoliopsida; Malvales; Malvaceae
Exons: 2
Source: RefSeq, a predicted model, not a curated record
UAAAAAGAAACGGUAUGAAAUAUAUACAAGUACAUACACUACACAAAAAUGCAUAUAUGUACAUAUAAAAAAUGUGUGCUUAGGAACAUAGAAAUAACAUUGAUAAUAAAUAAAUAAAUGGUAUAAUGAUAAUAAUAUAAAAAAGCAGAAGAAAAUAAUAAUAAAAUAGCUUGAAAUAGACUAAAUUGAACUGAAACGAAAAAAUGGGGCAGAUUUUGAAUGAAUUAAAAAAAAGCAGGACCAACUUGAAUGCGCGCAUAACAAUGGAGGACCAAAAAGGAAAUUAUCCCCGCCUUCCAAAAUGCUGCGCAGCGAUGGGCCAAAUUGAAACAAAAAUUAAAUAUGCGGCUCAAUUUAAAAAGAAACAAAUGAGUUUAAUUGAAACACAAUGCAAAAAAAGGGGGACUAAACGCGCAAUUUCCCCAUUCAGGCCAGAACGCGCGAAUCCUCCCCUCUGGGUCAGGUUACCGCGCGGGUCAAGGCACCAAAUGGCGCCGUUUUGCUCUGCUUUUUAAAACAGUUUUAUUUCCCAAAACAAAACAUUUGCAGCAUAAAAAUUUAAAACAAAAGGUGCAGCCCCUCUUCUCUGCUAGGGUUUCUUUCAACCCGCCCUUCGCGCCGCCGUUCUCAGGUGAUUCGGCCGAUCCGAAUCCCGGCACCAAAUUCGGUUCCGAUUCAGGUGAAGCAGAAUGGGUCUCAACGGCGAAACCCUGGAGUUCGUGUUUACAGGUAUCGUGGGGAGUGGUUGGUUCCGAAACGUGCGCCGAUUGGCGUCUUGCUGGCAAUGCUGGAGACUACUGGAGGGCUGAAUGCUGCGGCACCAAAGCUACUGCUACCUGCUUAGGGUUUCGGUGUUUUGGGGGUUUGGGUUAGUUGUUUGGGUAAUUAGGCUUAGGUUAGUAAUUGGGCUUUGUAAAAACUGGGCCGUUUAUUUUGUUUUUUUGUUUUGGUUCUGCAUGCGGGCUAGGGCAAAUAAUUGGUAUUAUAGCUGCCCCUCUUUGCUCGUUAUCGUGGAACGAGAAUGGAACAAGGACUUAAAAAGACCAAUUUUUUCCUGGUCGUAUGGACAUUGGCGUUCUUCCUCUUCAAGUAGCAUCGUUCCUUCUUGCUGCAUCUUCAGAGGUAUAGGAACUGGUGCUUCAAUCUACUCCACUGCAAUGUCAGGGAGAUAGGAUUCAUACGUUGUAGCUUCUCAAAAGAACGAAAUUUGCUAUCUUUAAUCUGUUCCACUGCGACUUCAAGGAGAUAAGACUUAUAGCUUCAACUUGUUCUGCUACAACUUAAAGAGAAAUCUGAUGCGAUUUGCUCUACUGCAACUUCAGAGAAAUGAGAUCUGUGGUUUUAAUCCACUCCAUUGCAACUUCAAGGAGAUAGGAUUGGUCAGCUCCACUGAUACUUCAAGGAGAUAAGACUUGUACCCUUGAUCUUCUUCGCUGCCAAUACAGGAAGACAAGGUCUGCUGUCUUUGAUCUACUUCCUGUCAAUACACGAAGACAAGAUCCUUUAUCUUCGAUCUACUUCAUAUCAAUAUAUAAAGAUAAGAUCUGCUAUCUCUGAUC